This 253-nucleotide ribosomal RNA is filed under the name uncultured bacterium. RNAcentral describes it as "partial 16S ribosomal RNA". It matches the Rfam family "Bacterial small subunit ribosomal RNA", at positions 524 to 776 of the family's 1533-position model. The record is from RNAcentral.
UACAUAGGUCUCAAGCGUUGUUCGGAUUCAUUGGGCGUAAAGGGUGCGUAGGCGGCGCGGUAAGUCGGGUGUGAAAUCUUGGAGCUUAACUCCGAAACUGCAUUCGAUACUGCCGUGCUUGAGGACUGGAGAGGAGACUGGAAUUUACGGUGUAGCGGUGAAAUGCGUAGAUAUCAGGAGGAAUACCGGUGGCGAAAGCGACUCUCUGGACGGCAACUGACGCUGAGGCACGAAAGCGUGGGGAGCAAACAGG